GGGGCCGUAGCUCAGUGGUCAGAGCGGGCGACUCAUAAUCGUUUGGUCGGAGGUUCGAUCCCUCCCGGCCCCA
This 73-nucleotide transfer RNA is filed under the name Acidimicrobiales bacterium. RNAcentral describes it as "tRNA-Ile". It matches the Rfam family "tRNA". Rfam says of the family: Transfer RNA (tRNA) molecules are approximately 80 nucleotides in length. Their secondary structure includes four short double-helical elements and three loops (D, anti-codon, and T loops). Further hydrogen bonds mediate the characteristic L-shaped molecular structure. tRNAs have two regions of fundamental functional importance: the anti-codon, which is responsible for specific mRNA codon recognition, and the 3' end, to which the tRNAs corresponding amino acid is attached (by aminoacyl-tRNA synthetases). tRNAs cope with the degeneracy of the genetic code in two manners: having more than one tRNA (with a specific anti-codon) for a particular amino acid; and 'wobble' base-pairing, i.e. permitting non-standard base-pairing at the 3rd anti-codon position. Lineage: Bacteria; Bacillati; Actinomycetota; Acidimicrobiia; Acidimicrobiales. RNAcentral also lists the same sequence under 2 other names. The record is from RNAcentral.